Gadus morhua (Atlantic cod) is the source of this 60-nucleotide microRNA precursor. Ensembl annotates it as gmo-mir-200b. Its record names the gene gmo-mir-200b. The record is from Ensembl. NCBI's taxonomy places the organism in Eukaryota, Metazoa, Chordata, Actinopteri, Gadiformes, Gadidae.
CAUCUUACGAGGCAGCAUUGGAUGUCAUAUCCCUCUCUAAUACUGCCUGGUAAUGAUGAU